Molecule: transfer RNA, 88 nt
Filed under: Candidatus Woesearchaeota archaeon
Lineage: Archaea; Nanobdellati; Candidatus Woesearchaeota
Description: tRNA-Gln
Rfam family: tRNA
About the family: Transfer RNA (tRNA) molecules are approximately 80 nucleotides in length.
Source: RNAcentral
AGCCCCGUAGUGUAGCGGUCAAACCAUUUGGGACUUAGCAUUCAUGGCUCUGGACCAUGAGACCGAGGUUCGAAUCCUCGCGGGGCUA